This is a non-coding RNA of Marmota flaviventris (yellow-bellied marmot), 1187 nucleotides long. NCBI's taxonomy places the organism in Eukaryota, Metazoa, Chordata, Mammalia, Rodentia, Sciuridae. The record is from RefSeq and is a predicted model, not a curated record.
AUGGGGAGCCGCAUGUCCGGGGUAGACUUCGAGUGGGUCUACACCGACCAGCCCCACGCUGACCAGGACCAGGAGAUCCUGGCAAAGUAUCCAGAGAUAAAAUCCUUGAUGAAACCUGAUUCCAACUUGAUAUGGAUUAUAAUUAUGAUGGUUCUCACCCAGUUGAUUGCAUUUUAAUUAGAAAAAGACUUGGACUGGAAAUGGGUCAUAUUUUGGGCCUACGUCUUUGGCUGCUGCAUUAAUCACUCAAUGAUUCUGGCUAUUCAAGAGAUUUCCCACAAUUUUGCGUUUGGCUACCACAAGGCACUGUGGAAUCGCUUGUUUGGAAUGUUUGCCAAUCUUCCUAUUAGGGUUCCAUAUUUGAUUUCCUUUAAGAGGUAUCACAUGGAUCAUCAUCGAUAUCUUGGAGCUGACGGCAUCGAUGUGGAUAUUCCUACUGAUUUUGAGGGCUGGUUCUUCUGUACCACUUUCAGAAAGUUUCUAUGGGUUAUUCUUCAGCCUCUCUUUUAUGCUUUUUGAUCUCUGCUCAUCAACCCCAAACCAAUUUCUCAUCUGGAAAUUAUCAAUACUGUGGCCCAGAUCAUUUUUGACAUUAUAGUUUACUACGUUUUGGGAAUUAAAUCUUUAGUCUACAUUGUUGGCAGCAUCCCUACUUGGUCUGGGUUUGCACCCGAUUUCUGGACAUUUCAUGGCUUAACAUUACAUGUUUUUAAAGGGGCAUGAAACUUACUCAUAUUAUGGGCCUCUGAAUUUACUCACCUUCAAUGUGGGUUACCACAAUGAACAUCAUGACUUCCUCAAUGUUCCUGGAAAAAAAACCUCCCACUGGUGAGGAAAAUAGCAGCUGAAUACUACUACAACCUCCCCCAGUACAAUUCCUGGGUGAGAGUACUGUACGAUUUUGUGAUGGAUGAUACAAUAAGUCCCUACUCAAGAAUGAAGAGGCAUCCAAAAGGGAAGCAGAUACUGGAGUAAAUAUCACCACAGCCCAAGGAAUUCCUCUCUGAAGCUUUAAAAUAGCUGACAAAGUGAAUUUUUUGCUGAAAACUGAAGAUCAGUGAUGCUUAGAAGCUAUCAUGACACAAUUUCAAACUAGGAUCUUCCUGCUAUUAAGAAACUAAUCUGGGGCUGGGGAUGUAUCUCAAUGAUGGAGCACUUGCCUGCAGCAUGCCUGAGGCCCUGGGUUC